GAUGAGCGCGUUGUAGAUAAUCUUCAGAUUGUAAUUCCUCUGCGCGUCCAGUGUCCUAUUCAGCACCACCACUAAGACCUGGGUUUGCGGGUAGAGGAAAAAACCGGCUACAGGGACAGCCCCGAACGCCCGGUCCUCGGCCAGCUGCACUUUCUCCACCGCCACUCGGGAAGCGUGCAGCACUACGUAGCGGGUGGCGUUCCGGCACGCGAUCUCCACGUUGACCUCCCCGGAGAAGGUGAAGUUCUCCAUGAAGGCGGUGAGCAUCAGAUUGUAGUGCAGCGGCUUCAGGUGGCCCGACAGGCGCAGCUGCGUCCACGGCUCCCACGGCUCCCGCUCCUCCUCCGACGGCGGCUGGGCCGACGUGGUCCCCGGACUGGCCACCCCACCCGCCUCGGGCUGCCAGGAGUCCCCGCCUGCGUGGUGGUUGCGCCGGGCCGAUCCAGGGAGGCUCCCGUUGCCGCCGCGCUCCGGAAAGCCUGAGGGGCCACCGUCGGCGCCUGGCGUGGCACUCGCCCCGCACUCGUCGAAGCGCAGGCUGAGCAGCACAGCGAGCAUUGUGACCGCGAGCAAUGCCACGAGGGACACAGCGAAGGCCAGCACAAGCCGCUUGUGUACGGCGAUGUGGCGCUCCGUGGUGCGGGGUCGCACUCCCACUGAGUCUGCCCACGGGUCGGAGAGCCCCCUGCUGCCAGCCCGAAGCGCGGCGUCGUCUUCCCCCAUCGCGGCUGCGAAGGCGGCGGCGUUCGGUCCUCUGGGUGGAAUGUGCUCGCAGCAGCAGUGACGGCGGCCACAGCACGGGAGGCACCCGAGCCAUACACCCUGCAGCUGGAGAGAAAAGGAUGGCCGAGGUGGGAGAGACUAGAGUGAACCAGCAGGAGGAAGUCCCAGGGCCGCGAAGCUACGACGGAGAUCCGUCCUGGAAAAGCCUUCUCCACCCUGGGCACUUUAAGCGGCGGUGGCGGCAAACGGCAGGAGGUUGCAGACCCGACAGCGAGACUCCCUCAUUCCAGUCUUGCUCUGCCCUCCGGAGAUGACAAGUGAGAAAGAAGUGUCCGGCCGGGCCAUCCCCUUCAGAGAAGCAACCACUUCACAAGAAGAUUCUGAAGUUGGCCAUUUUUGAUCCCAGAACAGUUUCUCAUAGAUUAGAAAUAUUGGAGUCUACACAAAAAUCGAUAUUCAUUUACAAGAUCAUCACUAAACUUAUCUUGCAUAACGUCUCUGCCAGCCACAUUAACUGCCUGCAGAAAAGUUUGUUAUGACUGCCUGGUUUUGUAAAGUCCAGACAACUUUACACUAAGCUGAAUAAUGUUCAUUUACUCAAAAGCUAGUCUAAAAUUGUAGAGUUAAUGAACACUAAACCAAAGUUAGUGCUUUAACUGAAAGAUAAUUUACUGUACCCUUUGGAGUCCAGUCCGGUACCAUCAAGAUCUGGGAAAAUACAACUGUUACCAAGAAUAACUGUAAAAUGUGCUGGGAAUGCAAUGUCCUGAGAUAAGGAAGAACUGCCUGAAACAGCCUGGAUCUUAUUCCUGUACUUCCUAGGGAAUGUAACAUCUCAAGUUAAAGAGGAACUGCCCGGAACAGCCCGGGGAUUGUUCCUCUCUCCUGAGAAGGAAGAUUACCUCCAAAGCUCAUCCACUGAGUCACACUGCCCCUGUGGUGGAGGGCGGGCUGCCUUUCCAGGUUCCUCAGCUGUGGUGUAACUGAAGCAGGCACAAUCAAGACUCCAUCUGCUCGAGGCAGCUUUCUCGAACCUUGGGGAACCUACUCACAAUGGAUCACAGGCUUCUUUUGUUUUGUUUCUUGCUGCCUAUCUGUAAGUAAUUAACUUGCUUCAUGUAACGUGUUGCAUAUGAGUGUGUUCUGUCUCAUAGACUCAGGGAAUUGGUAACACUGCAGCUGAGGACGCAGUGGACAGAAGUGUUCAGACUCCUGUUCCUUGUGGUUGACACAGUGAUGAUGAUCUCUUCUGUCCUCCACAGAGUGGAAGUCCUCUCUUGGGAUUGGUUAUUGGUGAAACCACUUCGCAAUUUAUUAAGAUGGCAAAAGCUUACGGAGGGACAGAUUUGAGGGGAAGAUCAAGAUUUUUCUGUCAGUAUUGCAAAUAGUCAAGAAUAUGUGGUCCAAGAAGUGAUCAUUAUCUUUGGCAUUGUGCAAGUCAUUAGUGACCUUCACAUGAACAGUCUCAGUGGAGUGUUGGAGGAAAAAGCCUAACUGAAGAAGGUUCAAGAGUGAAUGGAAAAAGAGCAGUAGUAUGUGGAGAGUACAGACAAGUAUUUCCAGGAGCCUUUCUGUAAAGAGUGGUAGAGAAUGGGACAUCAUUUUUGGAUGGGGGAAGAGUUAUUUAUAGCAUGUUCAUAUGCUAAUGGAAGUGAUCUACUCAUGGGGAAAAUCUUGAUGAUGCAAGAAAGAAAGGGAUUUGUUGGAAUCUUGUCCUAUAACGGGUGAGAGGGGAUGGGUUCUAGAAGAAAAGGCAUGGGUCUUUGUUUGAGAUCAGGCAAUUCAUCUGUAGGAACCAGUAGGAAGAUGGUUAAGUGGGUACCUGUGGUAGUGGAUGUUUGUGAACAUUCUUUUCUUUUCCAUUGUUUCUAUUUUCUCAAUAAAGUGGGAAGCAAAAAUCAGCUGAGUGAAGAUGAGGAAGAAGGUGUUAAAGGUUUGAAGAAAAAAGGAAAAGGAUAUACUAAUCUAAGAGGACAAGUAAGUAGAACAUAGAUAAUGAAAAUGCUGGCCCUUAGGACUGUUGGGCCUAAAUGCUCAUAUUAUAUUGGUAGUCACAAAUUUGAACUUUCUCUAGAGCCAAUUUUUGCAUGUGUGUGCAGGCCUGGAGUAGUUGGAGAGUUGGAUUUAAUAGAAUUGAGGGUCAAGCAACUACAACCAGGGAAGAGUGGGACAAGGGAGAUAAAGGAUAUUGGCAGGGGAGCAAUUAUAAACAUGGACCAUGAUCAAAACUGGACAGGAAGGAAAAUAGAGAUAAGAGGGGUGGAAGGUUAAAAAUAGUGAAAAUGAGAUAGAAUGAAUAGGUUGUAGGUCCCUGUAAAGUUGAAGAAGUAUUAUUAUGCAGUACUCGUUAUUGAAAUGAGGUCACUAUGCUUAAGGCACAGUGAAUCCUAGAAAAUAGUGGUUUUGUUUCUCAUUAGGCAAUACAUUCCUCCUUGCUCCAGAAUGCAACAUACAUGUAUCCUUUUCUGUACUAUUUUUUAUUAAGAAUUCAUACUUAAUUCCACUGACUGCCACUCAAUUUUAAUGUACAGUAGGGAAUUCCUGUACUAUGUAUUAUGAAUCCAUUCCUUUGAAUUUCAUUUAUAAUACUUCAUGACUGACACCUGGCUUUCCACCAAGACUCAAUUUUCAUAGCAAGCCUCAUCAUCAUAAGCCCCCAAAUUAACAGGAUGAGGAGGAAGAAUUGGCAGGCUAAAGAAGAUGAUUAUAUCAAUUAAUGCAGAAAAAGCAUUUGAUAAAAUCCAAUAUUCAUUUGUAAUUAAAAACUCUCAGCAAGUUAGGGAUAGGAAUUACUUCAACUUAAUGAAGAGUGUCUUUAAAAACCUUAUUUUCAUCAGUUAUAACAAAUGUACCACUCUGGUGGUGAAUGUUGCUAAGGAGGGAAGCUAUACAUGUGUGGGGAAAGGAGAU
Molecule: long non-coding RNA, 3633 nt
Filed under: Homo sapiens (human)
Lineage: Eukaryota; Metazoa; Chordata; Mammalia; Primates; Hominidae
Description: TRHDE antisense RNA 1
Source: RNAcentral